This is a small nucleolar RNA of Lotus japonicus, 79 nucleotides long. RefSeq annotates it as small nucleolar RNA snoR114. Lineage: Eukaryota; Viridiplantae; Streptophyta; Magnoliopsida; Fabales; Fabaceae. The transcript has a single exon. The record is from RefSeq and is a predicted model, not a curated record.
GAGCUGUGAUGAAAUAUAUUGCGAUGGUGGGACCAUCACCUCCUGAUUCUCAGGAUGAAAACCAAGAGUAUCUGAGCUC